Molecule: non-coding RNA, 79 nt
Organism: Mesocricetus auratus (golden hamster)
Lineage: Eukaryota; Metazoa; Chordata; Mammalia; Rodentia; Cricetidae
Source: Rfam
GGUUCUAUGAUUAUACACUAGUGUCCUGAAAAGGGCUGAUGACAUAGAAAUCAUGUUCAAUAUGGUUACCCUAAAGCUC